Long non-coding RNA from Sycon ciliatum, 1126 nucleotides. RefSeq lists it as uncharacterized. The record is from RefSeq and is a predicted model, not a curated record. NCBI's taxonomy places the organism in Eukaryota, Metazoa, Porifera, Calcarea, Leucosolenida, Sycettidae. The transcript has 6 exons.
GGUACCGACUUGCAGAACAUCUCGCGCAGACUUUGACAGUUCAUGUUGAGUAGAAUGUUGCGUGAUGGUGGCGAGCAUUGCCCUAGUAUUGCCGGUCCUCAGCCAGACUAGCGUGGCAUCCUGGGCGCAUAGCGAGCGUUUCCUAAGCGACGCUAGUAGAAUCUACACAGUCUUACUGUUUUCCUCUGAGUGAGAACUAUUUAAAAUUUUGUAGAGUAUCGUCAGAACCAGUGGUGCGCGGCGCGCAAAGUCCGCAAUUUACUUGCUUAUGAAGGGAUGCAGAAGUUCACAAUUUCUUCCUUCAAAUGCCACAUCUGUUGAAGGGGAGAGGUUUCUCCCCCCUCUACUGAUUUAUCAACUUGGACUUGGGAUAAAGGAAAUAGCGAUGGUCACUGUCCAAGUUGCAGGUGUGAAUAGUCGGAAAGGAAUUCACGGUGGUCAAUGUACAUGUUGCAGCUGUGAAUAGUCGGAAAGGAAUUCACGAUAGUCACCGUCCAAGUUGCAGGUGUGGAUAGUGGGAAAGGAAUUCACGGUGGUCACUGUCCAUGUUGCAGCUGUGAAUAGUCGGAAAGGAAAUCACGAUGGUCACUGUCCAUGUUGGAGCGGCACACUUUGGUCAUGGCACAUUCUAGUAUAUCUACGUGGACAGCAGUCACAGCACCAUGAUGCCGGAGUUCAGGGAUUGUCCAAAUCACUCGUUUUAUCAAACUAAUUAUUUGUCAUACCCUCAGUCUUAGGAAUAUCUCAGUAAUGAUAUUGAUUUUCAACGUCUUUCUAGAUUUACACUGCAAUCCAUCUCAAAAGACAAAAAAAAUGAUGCAGUUUGAAAUCUUGAAUCUUGUUGCCGAGCACGUGCCACAUGCAGAGAAGGUACGCUUUUCAACGGCCAAAGAGAGUUGGAACGCUUGUGUCUUUGUGGGUAACUUGAACAUUGGGGCUCAUGCAAAAUCGCAUCGAUUUUGGGAUUUCCCCGCAACGUUUUGCUUCAGCAAAAAUGUUGUGCUGGACCACAUUCCUGUCACUUCGCAGUGGCUUAUUGUUGGUGCAGUUAGUAUCCCACCCUCCCAUCCCUGACUUCUGGGUGUGUGUUUAUCGAUAUCUUAUUGGUUUUCUUAUUGCCAAUAUU